AGCGAACGCUGGCGGCAGGCCUAACACAUGCAAGUCGAGCGCCCAGCAAUGGGAGCGGCAGACGGGAUAGUAACACGUGGGAACGUACCUUUCAGUUCGGAACAACCCAGGGAAACUUGGGCUAAUACCGAAUACGUCCGUAAGGAGAAAGAUUUAUCGCUGAAAGAUCGGCCCGCGUCUGAUUAGCUAGUUGGUGAGGUAAUGGCUCACCAAGGCGACGACGGGUAGCGGAAGCGAGAGCUUGAUCCGCCACACUGGGACUGCGACACGGCCCAGACUCCUACGGGAGGCAGCAGUUUGGAAUUUGGACAAUGGGCGAAAGCCUGAUCCAGCGACGCCGCGUGC
This 345-nucleotide ribosomal RNA is filed under the name uncultured bacterium. Its description in RNAcentral is "bacterial SSU rRNA". It matches the Rfam family "Bacterial small subunit ribosomal RNA", at positions 29 to 404 of the family's 1533-position model. The record is from RNAcentral.